This 467-nucleotide ribosomal RNA is filed under the name uncultured bacterium. RNAcentral's name for it is "partial 16S ribosomal RNA". It matches the Rfam family "Bacterial small subunit ribosomal RNA", at positions 28 to 507 of the family's 1533-position model. The record is from RNAcentral.
GACGAACGCUGGCGGCGUGCUUAACACAUGCAAGUCGAACGGAAAGGCCCUGCUUUUGUGGGGUGCUCGAGUGGCGAACGGGUGAGUACACGUGAGUAACCUGCCCUUGACUUUGGGAUAACUUCAGGAAACUGGGGCUAAUACCGGAUAGGAGCUCCUGCUGCAUGGUGGGGGUUGGAAAGUUUCGGCGGUUGGGGAUGGACUCGCGGCUUAUCAGCUUGUUGGUGGGGUAGUGGCUUACCAAGGCUUUGACGGGUAGCCGACCUGAGAGGGUGACCGGCCACAUUGGGACUGAGAUACGGCCCAGACUCCUACGGGAGGCAGCAGUGGGGAAUAUUGCACAAUGGGCGGAAGCCUGAUGCAGCAACGCCGCGUGCGGGAUGACGGCCUUCGGGUUGUAAACCGCUUUCGCCUGUGACGAAGCGUGAGUGACGGUAAUGGGUAAAGAAGCACCGGCUAACUACGUG